UACAGAGGGUGCGAGCGUUAAUCGGAAUUACUGGGCGUAAAGCGCGCGUAGGUGGCUAUGCAAGUCGAACGUGAAAUCCCCGGGCUCAACCCGGGAACUGCGUCCGAUACUGGAAGGCUUGAAUCCGGGAGAGGGAUGCGGAAUUCCAGGUGUAGCGGUGAAAUGCGUAGAUAUCUGGAGGAACACCGGUGGCGAAGGCGGCAUCCUGGACCGGUAUUGACGCUGAGGCGCGAAAGCCAGGGGAGCAAACGGG
Molecule: ribosomal RNA, 253 nt
Filed under: uncultured bacterium
Lineage: Bacteria
Description: partial 16S ribosomal RNA
Rfam family: Bacterial small subunit ribosomal RNA
Source: RNAcentral